This 201-nucleotide long non-coding RNA is filed under the name Elaeis guineensis (African oil palm). Its description in RNAcentral is "long non-coding RNA (EGUI_LNC012781)". The record is from RNAcentral. Lineage: Eukaryota; Viridiplantae; Streptophyta; Magnoliopsida; Arecales; Arecaceae.
UGUCGUCUCUCUCUUGAAAGUGACCAGCAAUUUGUAAGGGUGGGGGAGUCUUAAGAAGUCAAAUAAUGCUUAGCUUGCUGGCAUUUCCUGAUUCCAAACCAGAGAUUUCUAAGAGCUAAUUUGUUGGUAAACUAUAGUAUGCAGGCAUUGAAAAAUAUACUCUUCUUAGUAUGGGUGUCAAAGUAGCAGGAUAGCAGAACA